Molecule: non-coding RNA, 1562 nt
Organism: Myodes glareolus (Bank vole)
Lineage: Eukaryota; Metazoa; Chordata; Mammalia; Rodentia; Cricetidae
Source: RefSeq, a predicted model, not a curated record
GGCCCUAAGGCCACCAUCAGUGUCACAACUAGGGAAGGUGGCAGCCCUGAGUCAUAGGACAGAGUCCAUAGUACCUGGCGUGCAGAUCAGAAGCAGGUGAAAGCAGAUCAGGCUAGCAGGGACUGGCCUGGCAAAUGGAAAACCAACUCCCUUUCUGCAAAUGCACAGGAGGAAGGUGACGUGUGUCAGCGGAAGCAGAGAGGCAGACUUUGCUGCAGCAGUCCGUGACCGGUGACCUGGUUUGGCAGAAGAAAAGGAAGUCUUUGUUCUGCAAGGAGACCUUCCACGCUAUACAAGAAUUCUUGAAGAAUGUGAAUCGCCGCUGGAAUGAACGUGGUAACAGGAGCUGAGAUGUCAGCAGUGUGGGACAGGAAGGAGAGCUGAAGCUGGGAUGUCUGGACUACGGAUUUGGAUGGGGGAGAAAAUGUUGAUGGACUUUGAUAUCAGAACCUCCUUCAGGAGGCUAAAAUGGAGCAGGGGAGAAGGCAGAGGAUCAAAUAGCAGUUGGAUGGGAGUUAUGUCCGGCUUUCCCAGCUGCAGAAGAAGCGGUCCAGGCCAGCUGCCCCUGCUGCCCUGCUACUGACCAGCAAAGAGGAAGAUAGAAGACUUGAAAGAAGCCAGAAACACAGCAGGAAUCCUCAUGCUGGGAGCAUAAAGGAGAGGAAGACGGCUUUGAACAAACCAAACAAAACAAAAGGAACAUUGUACGAGGCAAGGUGCUGCAUGUCUGUAAUCCCAGCACUCCAGAACCAGAGGCAGGAGGAUUGCCACAAGUCCGAAACUAAUCUGGUUUAUAUAACGAGUUCCAGGACAAAAUAGCAAGACCCUAAAACAAAUCAUUGUGUUUGUGUGUGUGUUGUAUGUGUGGUGAAUAGGGGUGUGGAAGGGAAGUGUGGGGCAUCAACCAAGAUUUGUAUCUAGAACCCACAAGUGGAAGUUCUAGAACACCCUUGGUGCUCAGCGGAGACAUGUGGGCCUCCUUAGUCUAUGGGACAUAGAUUCUAGUUAGACUAGCUUAGGGUUGGUUGUCACAGCCCCAGGUCACGAGACUCCUCUUCAGCAGGAGUCCCUAAUAGCAUGAUCCUCGGUUUCUCCUGUGCUGGAUGCAUUCUGUGGGGCUGUGGGCCUGGGGUAUGACAUACUCUGUGCCAUAGGACUGCCCUCCACAUUCAUGGCUUAACUUGAUUUAUGCUGAGAGGCUGCUUAUGUAGCAGUGGCGUCUUAGAGAAAGUCUAUGUUGGCAGCCAGCCUUGAGGCUGGAAUUCUUGUGGGAAAAGGAAGUCAUGGCCUCAAAAAGACUUCUGUUACAGAGUCAGUGCUGGGGCCAGGCGAGCAGAGCAGUUAACCUAUCUUUACCCAGAUGGUCCUAGGACUCUAAUGAUCUGGGACUCCAGGCUGCCCAGACAUGCCCAGAGUAGGCACGAAGGGAAAUGGCAGAAGGGUUUCUUUUUCAAAGACCUAACUUAUGGCAUGGGAAAGAUGGAUCAGUGGUUAAGAACACUGGCUGCUCUUUCAGAGGACCCACAUUCAAUUCCCAGAACCUACAUGGUAGUGUAGAUGGA